AUAUUUGACUCUGAAACACUAACCAAGCUUUUUAUUGCUUCUCAAAGCUUUGAUGGUGUAGCCGAAGUCCGUAUGAGUCUUAGGCUUUGUAUCUUCUAAUAAGGAACCACUACUUUAGC
Molecule: small RNA, 119 nt
Filed under: Arabidopsis thaliana (thale cress)
Lineage: Eukaryota; Viridiplantae; Streptophyta; Magnoliopsida; Brassicales; Brassicaceae
Description: ATSL199370
Source: RNAcentral